UCCAAGGCUUUUUUAAAAGCCACCAUUAUUUGAGGAUAGUUCUAG
Non-coding RNA from Myotis davidii, 45 nucleotides. The record is from Rfam. NCBI's taxonomy places the organism in Eukaryota, Metazoa, Chordata, Mammalia, Chiroptera, Vespertilionidae.